Monodelphis domestica (gray short-tailed opossum) is the source of this 4663-nucleotide non-coding RNA. The record is from RefSeq and is a predicted model, not a curated record. Lineage: Eukaryota; Metazoa; Chordata; Mammalia; Didelphimorphia; Didelphidae.
AUUCUCUUCCUCUCUCAUUCUUUUUCCUCUCUCUCUCUCUCCCUCCCCAAGAAUCAUCUGAAAUACCAGGUAGUCAAAAAUAAAAAGAAAGGAAGAAAAAGGAAAGAGAAGAAAAGAAAUACCAAGUAGCCAUCUAGGUACCUUGGAGACAGAAGAGCUAGCUGGACACAGAGUCAAGUCACAGAGAUAUAAGAGAGCUUAGAGAUCACUUCCCUCAGUUAAGAGGUGAUGAAAGACAAGUCCUUUGGCUUGCAAUGUCUAGAUUAGGUCACUGAUGUAAGGAGAGAGAGCAGUGGAAUUGGUGUCAGGAAGACAUGGGUUCUAAUCUCUUCUUAGAUAUUGAUCACUUGAGCUCUCUCAGCCUCAGUUUCCACAUCUGUGAAACAAGAAUAAUAAUAGCACCUCCCUCCUAGGGUUGUUGUAAGGCCCACAGAAGUUAGUUAUUCUUAUUGCCAUCACCUGCCCUAGGUGUCUCAUUUCCCAGUCUUCUGUCCUUCAUGCAGUCAAACUCUGAAAAUGCAUUUUGAGGGCCCUGGACAGUCCUUCUAGAGCAUUCAUUCCAAAAGGGCAAACCCAAGGUGUGUGAAGACAUACGUGUUCCUUUGUUCCUUUCCUCCUCCCCUGGGCUCUCUUUUUCUCUCUGACUCACUGGGGCUAUCUCUCUCAUUAAUCUCUGUCCCUCUCUCUGUCAUCCCGUCAGGCUUUGUGGGCAUCAUUUGGGCCGCUGGAUCUCGGAGCUGGAAGGGCCCGAGAGGCCAUGUGGUCCAAAGCCCAGGUAAAGAGUGGGGGGGGGGACAUCCCUAUGGAGGGCUCUUUCAAGCCGGGCUUGGAGAGCUUCAAUUAAAGAGUGCUGCACCCUGGGGCCAUUCAUUCCAUUUUUGGGCAGCUCUAAUUGUUGGGAAAUUUCUCCUCCCACCAAGUCCAAAUCUGCAACUUCCACCCCACUCUCUGGAUCUGCCCUUAAGGGCUCAGAAAAAGAUAUCUAAUCCUUCUUCCUUGUGGCAGCCUUUCAAAUACCUGAAGAUAGCAUCAACUCUUCAGUCUUCUUUCUUCUCCGGGCUAAACAUCCCUACUUCCUCCAGCAGCUGCCAGGCUGACUCUCUUUCCUCUAAGUUCUUUCCCUCUCCUCCCUUCUUCUCCCCAAUUCCUGUAAGCUACCCAGGAGGCCUUGGGUCUCCCCAUUCUGGUCUCCCUGAAGCAGUAGAAUCUUAGGUCAGACAAUUUCCAAGAAGAUUCUGGGAGCUAUUGUCUCCAGAAGACAACUGGGCGUCAAGGAGGGGAAGGGAUUUUGAUCAUGGGAACCCAGUCCUUUAUCAUUGUGGGCCAGGGGAUAGAUUGCUCUGUAAACUGGGAGGCUGCUGGCACUGACCUCUGUAGGACUCACAAUAGGGAAAGGGUUUUAGUUCUCCCUCCCCCAUCCAAGAUCCUAGGUUGGCCUCUUUCUUGGUGACGAGUUCUACUUGUGUUAAAAGGACUAUAUUUAUGACCUCUGGUCUCUGUUGCCCGACUUUCUUUGGGAAGAGAGAUGUCCCAGUCUGACACGAUUACUGGAGAGUAGUGGAACCCUGGACACACGACUUCCUCUGACCAUAUUGAGGAUCUCAAAGCACUUUGGAUUUAUUCCCAUUCCCAAGACUUGACCUCUAGUCUAGAAAUUGGAGGAGGCCCAUAUUUCUAGACCAAGACUUAAGAUACUCUAGCCCCAUUGCUCAACAGUGUAGACCUGAUUCAGGCAAGAGACUGCAUUGAAAUCUCUGGAAUUCAUGGAAUCAAAGGCCAUGGGAACUUGGGUGGUGGGAUCUACCUCCCUUCCUACCAUUAUUUGUACCCCAGAAUUUUGAAUAUUUGUUCUCAGGGGCCUUUUCUGGGCCUCAGGAUCUUCAUCUAAGGAGAUCUUGAAGGGCCUUUGCAGCUCUGAAUGCUCACUCUGAUGCUACUAUCUCCAGUUGGGAUGACCCAAGAAGGAAGGGGCCUGGACCUGACUCCUAGCUGGAAGAGCAGGCUCCUGAAAUGGACAUGCUCUCUGGAGGCCACCUUGAAGGCCAGUGUCCCAUCUCCAUGAUCAUCUGCAUUUGGCGACCAGCUUCUUUGGAGAAUGUCUCUCAUGUCUCACCUUUUCUCUCCUUCCUUAUCUAGGACACUGGGCUCCUUGCCUCUGGCUGAGUCGGGGGCAAAGGCUGGAGGAGGCUUUUGCUGAAUGGACUCUUUGCCCUCACUGGGAAACUGAGGUCCACUGACUCGAACAAGGUCACACAGGUGGCAGCAUCAAAACCAGCCUCAAACUCUGAUUCCAAGUCCAAGGAUAAACGGCUUCUACUGGCAACUACAUAACCCCGGUUUAGAGAAAUUAAUUGAAUGGAUGAUGAAAACGAAUAGACUUGCCCAAGGUCCCAUAGUAAGUGCCUUGUUUCCCCGUGUGAGGGACAGAAAUCUGACCUCUCCUCCUUCCUUCCACGAUGGAGAUCUAACCGGAACAUCUCCCUUCUUGGAUCCUGGGACCAGCUAUGCGCUGGAAGGAUUAUGGAGGAUUAUUUUACAGAUGGAGAAACUGAGGAACGGGACAAUGAAAACCACUGGCUCUGUCUUCAUUUUAGCCUUAAAACUCUAUCCAAAUGCUAGCUGUUGUUAUUAUUACUAUUAUUAGUCAGUGCACCCAUUCGUCUGCUCCCCCGCCCACACUUGGGGAAGUAACCUAGCUCCUCUCUGCGAACCAAGGCUAUUUGCAAUUCAUUUCUUCCCCCUGAAGUAGCUCCAGGGAAGGCAGAGACAUGUCAUUCCCACCCGCCGCCACAGGGAGGCUCCCGAACUCAUUUUUUCUGCCUUUCCGAAGGAUCGAUGCAAACACUCCCAGAAUCCCCAGCCCUGGCACAUCAUUGUGCAGUUCAUCCCGUCUGUGUUCCUGCGUCUGGGCUGGGCAAAGCCGGCCAACUCUUACGAUCGAGGGAGCUGCUUAGUGAAGUCAUCGGAAGAGCCCGAGGUUCUGGUGGACCACACAGGAAGGCAGCAGCUUCCAGUGUUUCAUCAUCUAGUGCUUCAGACUUCUCCCUGGCUGAAAAUUGUUCCAUCCGGGCAAGAUGCUUCCUUCCUGAUGUCAGGGAGACUCUGGGACAUGGUAGAAUUGGAAUUCAGGUGGCUCUCUAGGGCUCCUUCCACUCCAUCAAAUGACCCCUAGCCCUGAAGACUGUCCAAAGCAGAAUCCUCAUCCAAGGGCUCUUCUUUCCAUUCCCACAAUUUGCACCCACUGUGAUUAGCCCAUACAGGGAGUCAAUCACCCACUUCCACCAUUCCCCUCUGUGGUGUAUCCUCAGAAUCCUGGAAGGAAUGAAUAAACACCCUUACUGUCUGUUUUAGAAUCCAUGCUGUAGUGUGGAUUGGCUCCAAGACAGAAGAGUGGUAAGGACUAGGCAGAUGGUGUAAGUGACUUGCCCAGGGUCACAUAUCAAGAAAGUAUCUUGGGCUAGAUUUGAACCCGGAGCCUCUGGUCUCCAGGCCUGGCUUUCAAUUCUCUAAGCCACCUAGCUGCCCCCCCUUGGAGGAUAAUUUUAAAGUGCCUGCUAAAUAGAAGACCCUAGUGAUACAAAGAAGCAGUCAAUGCCCUCAGGAAACAACAUCCUAACAAGACGGAUAUCUAAGGUCAGAUUUGAAUUUAGGACCUCUAGGGUAUCCAUUGAACUACCUACAUGCCCCUUAUAUUUAGUUUUCAGUUGAUCUUCACAAUGAUUCUCUGAGGUAGAUGCUAUUAUUAUCAAUGUCUGACACAUGAGGGAACAGAGGCUGAGAAAGGGUAAAGGACUUGAAGCUCCCUAAGCCAACCCUCCUACUCUACCCACACCGAGGUCACACUACACACUAGUGAACUGAGAUUUAACCCCAGGUCUUCUGAACUCUAUCUACUACAUCUGUGUUGGUGAACCUAUAGCUGCUUCCUUCCCCCUCUCCAUCAUGCCUGAGGACAUCACCCACUCCUCUGCUCAACAGUCUGGGGUAAGGGAGGGGGGACUCGAAUGCAACAUGAGGAUUGCAGUUUGGGCACUAGGUCUCUACAAGGUUUGCCAUCACUGUACUACAUCAUCUAGCCACCAAAUGAAAGGGAAUAAUAGGAUGAGACCCAGCUUGUGAUGAGACAAAAAGGAGUGAACCUCUUAUCCUAGAAACAAUUAGAGCUUUUUACUCAAAGUAAAAAUUCUGUGGUCAUAUCCGCGUGCUAGGAAUAUUAGUUUGGCAGCUAGGUUAAGGAUGGAUUUGUGGAGCAACUAGGUAGCCUGGUGGAUAAAGGACCACUCCUGAAAUCAGUAGAACCCCGGGUUCAAAUCUGGCCUCAGACACUUCCUAGCUGUAUGACCCCAGGCAAGUCACUUAACUCCAAAUGCCUCUCCCCUGCAGCUCAGUCAAUCCUAGAAUUGAUACUAAGACAGAAGGUAGAGGUUUAAAGAAAAAAAGGAAGGAUUCAAGUCAAGAAGACCAAAUGAAGUGUAUUGGUAGAGCAAGAGAAAAUGAAGACCUGUUUCCCCCUAAAACUUUCCAUUUUGUCAUUCCUCAUAGCCCAAUAAAAAUAACAAUACGAAAGGGAAAAAAAAGAUUAUUGUUGUUCAGUUGUUCCAGUUGUGUCCCACUCUUCCUGAAUCCAUCAGGAGAUUUCUUGGCAAAGAUACUGGAAUGGUUU